AAAGUUCUGUGACACUUAGACUCUGAAUAUGAUAGCAGUCAGUGCACUACAGAACUUUGU
This 60-nucleotide microRNA precursor is filed under the name Xenopus tropicalis (tropical clawed frog). RNAcentral describes it as "Xtr-Mir-148-P1_pre stem-loop". It matches the Rfam family "mir-148/mir-152 microRNA precursor family", at positions 8 to 68 of the family's 74-position model. From Rfam's summary of the family: The hairpin precursors (represented here) are predicted based on base pairing and cross-species conservation -- their extents are not known. In this case the mature sequence is excised from the 3' arm of the hairpin. The record is from RNAcentral. Lineage: Eukaryota; Metazoa; Chordata; Amphibia; Anura; Pipidae.